Long non-coding RNA from Bombus pascuorum, 927 nucleotides. RefSeq lists it as uncharacterized. The record is from RefSeq and is a predicted model, not a curated record. The transcript has 3 exons. Lineage: Eukaryota; Metazoa; Arthropoda; Insecta; Hymenoptera; Apidae.
CGGUAUAACGACCGUCGUGUCCAUGACGGGAAGCAUCAAGAAGCAUCGUGAAGCAUCAAGAAGCAUCGUGAAGCAUCAAGAAGCAUCGUGAAGCAUCAAGAAGCAUCGUGAAGCAUCGAGAAUCAUCGAACGGGGAAAAUCGUACUCUCGGUUGAGUAUUUCGGAGAGCCGUAACCCAUCACCGACGAUACAGGUGUCCUUGGACCGCUCGAGGUAAUAAUGCCGGUAUAACCGAACAACUGUUCGAUGACCCAGGUGGUAGAAGAAUUGUAUAGGAUGACACCGAUACUCCAAAUACGGUCGACGACCAACAGAGUCAUUGUUCACGCUGUAACCGAUACCCUCAGCUUCCGAGAACGGUUCGAUCUUCUCUACCUGUACUUACUUCUGUCCGCGUAAUUACCUGGCCUUUGCCCGCAUCUUCGUCUUUGUAUCUCGACGCGCCCACGUGAUGCUCGGCAUUCUUCUUUUCACGCUAUUCGUUCGUCGAUUCGCCUCGUACGUUUUUGGCAAACGACAACGUGGAAAGACACAGCGGUCGAAACUGCAGGGGAACGCGCGCAAACAAUCGUCUUUAUCGUCGUAACUAUGAAACGAGAUAUUGUUUCAGAUUCUGUCAUUAACCGUAACUCGUCUCUGCUCAAACGUUUUUUCGGAAUAUCGGAAAUCGAUGCAGGAUUUAAUAACAAUCAUAAUGGGACAGUCUUUUCGUCUAGCGAAACGAUUUCCUGCGGACGAUCGAUGGUGAUUACGUUGCUUUGUUUUCGUACUUGCUUCUUCUCGGGAUUGUUCCACGGUUGUAACUGACCGCUACCGAAAAUGGUAAACGUGAGUGCGCCAAGACAAUAAAUCCACCCUAAUAUCCAAAAAACGAUACUCCAUCCUGAAUAGGUCUGAUUUUUGUAGGUUAACGAGCCGACCAUGUAA